Molecule: long non-coding RNA, 165 nt
Organism: Oreochromis aureus
Lineage: Eukaryota; Metazoa; Chordata; Actinopteri; Cichliformes; Cichlidae
Exons: 3
Source: RefSeq, a predicted model, not a curated record
GUUUCAGCUAGCGCGCUGGCUGCAGCUGAUUUGCAAACAUCAGGUUUAGGCGACGUCACCGUUUGUGCCGAAACUUGAGUGUAACGUGCAAGUCUUGAUUGCAAACUUGACAUGGGACACUUUUGUUUUCUUCUCAUUCUGAACCUGAACCACAAGGCAGACACC